AUUGAGCGCUGGCGGCAGGCCUAACACAUGCAAGUCGAGCGGAUGAAGGGAGCUUGCUCCUGGAUUCAGCGGCGGACGGGUGAGUAAUGCCUAGGAAUCUGCCUGGUAGUGGGGGAUAACGUCCGGAAACGGGCGCUAAUACCGCAUACGUCCUGAGGGAGAAAGUGGGGGAUCUUCGGACCUCACGCUAUCAGAUGAGCCUAGGUCGGAUUAGCUAGUUGGUGGGGUAAAGGCCUACCAAGGCGACGAUCCGUAACUGGUCUGAGAGGAUGAUCAGUCACACUGGAACUGAGACACGGUCCAGACUCCUACGGGAGGCAGCAGUGGGGAAUAUUGGACAAUGGGCGAAAGCCUGAUCCAGCCAUGCCGCGUGUGUGAAGAAGGUCUUCGGAUUGUAAAGCACUUUAAGUUGGGAGGAGGGGCAGUAAGUUAAUACCUUGCUGUUUUGACGUUACCAACAGAAUAAGCACCGGCUAACUUCGUG
This 484-nucleotide ribosomal RNA is filed under the name uncultured bacterium. Its description in RNAcentral is "partial 16S ribosomal RNA". It matches the Rfam family "Bacterial small subunit ribosomal RNA", at positions 30 to 507 of the family's 1533-position model. The record is from RNAcentral.